Molecule: long non-coding RNA, 1135 nt
Organism: Lycium ferocissimum
Lineage: Eukaryota; Viridiplantae; Streptophyta; Magnoliopsida; Solanales; Solanaceae
Exons: 3
Source: RefSeq, a predicted model, not a curated record
UGGACUCGAGAAUGUGAAAUGUAAUUGUAAGGUGAAAUUGACAAUUGAGGCAAAAUUGAGAAAUUUAUUAAUAUCCAAUCAGGUUGCAGUUACAAAUGAUUGGUAAUGUGAGAAUAGAACUCCAAGAUGAUUCUUGAGCUUCAAUGGAUUCCCGUAAUGGAGAAUUUAGGUUACAGAGAGAAGAGAAAUUGGGAAAGACGAAGAAGAGAGAAAGAUUGAGGAAGAAGAAUACCAGAUCAAUAACUGCCUCCUUAGCUAUCAAUUUUUGUUAUUUAACAACUCAGCAUAACAAACUCAGCAUAGAUCUCAACCGUUGAUUUGCUUCUAAUUGUGGCCGUUGAUCACUUAUUCACAUGGAUUAAUGAGCUGGCCCCACUGUAGCACGUGCGAUACGCGUGCACUUCUUUAUUCAUGGCUAAUUGACUAAAUCCCCAAUUCCACCUAAAUCAAUCUCAAUUCGAAUGACCUAAACAAACCCUAAUUGACUCCACUUUCAUAACAAAACCUCAAGUUAGGUUGGGCUUAGGCUUUAGGUUUUAUUGGGCAAUAUGAGAAAGAUAACUUUUGCUUUAGGGUUUCUUCUCAAUGUCAACCUUUUUCUUUGAAUUCUAAUUAGGUUGGGCUUGGGUUUUAGGUUCUAUUGGGCAAUAUGGGAAAGAAACUUUCGUUUUAGGGCAUCUUCUCAAUGUCAACCUUUUGGCUACCUAUAUAAGAUUCAAUCUUCUUUCAUUGGGAUCCUGCAUUGGUUGCAUAUUCCAAGGUAUGUAGUUUGAAUUUUCUUUUCUUCUCAUCUUUUUGUUUUAGGGCUUCUUCUCAUUGUCAACCUUUUAGCUGCCUAUUUAAGAUCCAAUCUUCUUUCAUUGGGAUCCUGAAUUGGUUGCAUAGUCCAAGGAGAUAAGCUGGAGAAGAGGACAUUGGGAUUCUCUCUUGGAAUACCUUGACUAUCCAGAUGAAAAAUGGGCAUGGACAAAGCUAUAUCAAGUGCCCCCAUAUCAAAGCGGAGAGUCAAAGAGAGCAGGAAACUGAUGCUGCGACCUGAGUAUCCUCCAAUCCACUUUAAAAGCGAAGGAGAUCGUUCUUGAGAUCUUCUCUUCAACCUUUUCCGACGCUCCUCUCUUUAUGAACAUGACUUGUG